RNAcentral lists this non-coding RNA (27 nucleotides) under Bombyx mori (domestic silkworm). The record is from RNAcentral. Lineage: Eukaryota; Metazoa; Arthropoda; Insecta; Lepidoptera; Bombycidae.
UCUGUUGAUAAAUCAGUACCCUGUGGC